GAACUGCUAAAAACCCCAUACGUGUCAUGUUGGUAUUGGUCGUCUCUCUCUUCUCCCUCUUCCUCGAUGCUUUUCUUUUCUGUCUGAGAAAUCUCUCGUCUUGCUCUCCAUCGCCAAAUCCGUAGCAGCUAGAGAACCUCGGCGAAAUCAGAUUGGUGGCUAGGAUUGUGCUGGGACUCAGGUCGGAUCUCGAUAUCAGACGACUCGUCGACGAUAUCGAACGAAUCGAUCUGCUGACGAACGAGACCUUUCUCUACGAAGUAGGCUGAUAUAACGGCCCAUGCGUCCUCCUGUGUACAUAAUCUCCUCGUCAUGAUCAAUGUAAGGCUGGUCCUGUUCGUACUCCAUCUUUGAUCUCCUCUCGUUGAAGAUUGAAGAACAGAGCAGAGAGAGAGAGAAAGAGAGAGAGAGAGAAAGCGCGACUUUGUGGAGUUGAUCUCGAUCUCUCAUUCAAUCGGAGAAGAUGAUCUAUAUAUACCUCUUCUCACAACCUUAAUCACAGCCACAGAUAGAGGCUUGGUAUCCCGAAGAAUAGCAUGUAGACCUUACUGCAGCCCCACCUUGAUGUUCUACUAUUUGAGAUCAUUUUCCCUCUAAUGUGCUUCAAUAAUGAUGACCAAGUACUUUGGGAUGAAGACCCGCAUGAUGUGAGGAAGGGUUAUGAUAUGGACUUUGUGACUGAGCUGGUCAGAAAGCGUGGAAAAGACACUUCCCCAAAUUCAUACAGUUCAUCGUGGGCAUAUUUAAUAGAUUUGGUGAAGCACCUCUAGAACAGAAGCCCUAUCGCCAAAAGGAUGGUGCUCUACUUGCUGUUGGGACACUUUGUGAUAAACUUAGGCAAGCUGAACCCUACAAAUCCGAGCUGGAGAAUAUGCUACUGCAACAUGUUUUUCCUGAAUUCAGCAGCCCAGCUGGUCAUCUUAGAGCCAAGGAUUUAGUUACUGCUUUUGGUUGUUCAGACCCCCUUCUCAUUCGUUUCUGUUAAGAAAAUAAUACCUCUAUUCAUUUUUAUUUAUGCAUUUGUUUAGUCCCCCUUCUCAUUCGUUUAUGUUAUGAAAAUCAUUCCUUGUCAAUUGAUUCAUCUUUGUCUCCAAAUGCUUGAAUUUCUGUACUACUACUUUGUGAUCACUGUGACUGAAUCACUAUCCUCUUAUGUUU
Molecule: long non-coding RNA, 1158 nt
Organism: Brassica oleracea var. oleracea
Lineage: Eukaryota; Viridiplantae; Streptophyta; Magnoliopsida; Brassicales; Brassicaceae
Exons: 4
Source: RefSeq, a predicted model, not a curated record